This is a long non-coding RNA of Asparagus officinalis (garden asparagus), 742 nucleotides long. RefSeq lists it as uncharacterized. The record is from RefSeq and is a predicted model, not a curated record. NCBI's taxonomy places the organism in Eukaryota, Viridiplantae, Streptophyta, Magnoliopsida, Asparagales, Asparagaceae. The transcript has 2 exons.
AUUCAUCCCCAAAUCUCAAAAAAGCCCUAAAAUUUUCCAUCCUCUUCAAUCCAAGCCCAGAAGAAUCCUAUCCGAUCUCUCUAAAUUAGGUUAAAAUUGGAGCGAUUAGGAUUUCAAUCUGAAGAGCAUCGGCCAUGCCUUCGAUGGUCGGCGGUCGCCUCCUCUUGGUUCGAGCCAUUGCGAUGGAGCUCCUUCCCCUCGAGAUCUCGUUCAAUGAAAGUAGUAGUAAUAGUAGUAGUAAUCGUUUUAAAAAGCUAGAGAAAUGGAAUCGUCGUGGUAAUCUCAGCUAAUUCUUUGCCCUAGAUUCGUUCUUUUUGCUCUUCGUUUUGUUCUUUGAGAUCUCUGUUGCUUUUUCUCUGAGAAAGGAGGAAUUUUGACGGAUUGUGCGUUCUUGGAGCAGUCAGAUCUUGAUUGAGGUUUAAUCACUGCUGUCCUUGAAUGGGUAGUUCCACAUCUUGUAAUGAGUCGGUUUCUUCAAGUAUUGGCUCUAGGCUGUGUUUAGACAGUCUUAAUUGUGAAGAAUCACUGGUAAAACAUGAGAAAUCCUCCUAUGUCAAUGAAGAGGAUGGGAAGGUAAUAUUUCUAGAGGAUCUCGACAGUUCCACUGGUGAGGAGUCAGAUGAGGAUUUCAAAGAUUCAGUUGUCAAAGAACUUGGUAUUUCACUGUGGCAAACUCUACAUGUUCAUGAACCUCCAGAACCUUUAGUUGUCAGGAAUCCAACAUCAAAUCCGGGAUAUAAAA